This 253-nucleotide ribosomal RNA is filed under the name uncultured bacterium. RNAcentral's name for it is "partial 16S ribosomal RNA". It matches the Rfam family "Bacterial small subunit ribosomal RNA", at positions 524 to 776 of the family's 1533-position model. The record is from RNAcentral.
UACAGAGGGGGCAAGCGUUGUUCGGAAUUACUGGGCGUAAAGGGCGCGUAGGCGGCUUGAUAAGUCAAAGGUGAAAUCCCUCGGCUCAACUGAGGAACUGCCUUUGAAACUGUCUGGCUUGAGGCCGGGAGGGGGUAGCGGAAUUCCCAGUGUAGCGGUGAAAUGCGUAGAUACUGGGAGGAACACCGGUGGCGAAGGCGGCUACCUGGACCGGUUCUGACGCUGAUGCGCGAAAGCGUGGGUAGCAAACAGG